RNAcentral lists this long non-coding RNA (236 nucleotides) under Monodelphis domestica (gray short-tailed opossum). Its description in RNAcentral is "lncRNA (ENSMODG00000046004.1)". The record is from RNAcentral. Lineage: Eukaryota; Metazoa; Chordata; Mammalia; Didelphimorphia; Didelphidae.
UGAAUGAAAAAUAAAAAAAGAAUCAUCUCAGAUCUCAUCUCCUAGAAGUCUAGCUUAAUCUCUGUUUGCUAGAACACUCUUCCAAAAGUUAAUUUUUCUAUAUAUUUUGUAUUGAAUUUUCUGUAUAUACAUUGUUUUCCUGCAAUAGAAUGUCAGUUCCCUGAAGACAGCGACCAUUUGGGGUUUUGUCUGCAUAUUCCAGAGUAUAACACGGUACCUGACAAAUGUCAAUGGAC